GUCGAGCGAACAGACGAGGAGCUUGCUUCUCUGACGUUAGCGGCGGACGGGUGAGUAACACGUGGAUAACCUACCUAUAAGACUGGGAUAACUUCGGGAAACCGGAGCUAAUACCGGAUAAUAUACUGAACCGCAUGGUUCAAUAGUGAAAGACGGUUUUGCUGUCACUUAUAGAUGGAUCCGCGCCGCAUUAGCUAGUUGGUAAGGUAACGGCUUACCAAGGCAACGAUGCGUAGCCGACCUGAGAGGGUGAUCGGCCACACUGGAACUGAGACACGGUCCAGACUCCUACGGGAGGCAGCAGUAGGGAAUCUUCCGCAAUGGGCGAAAGCCUGACGGAGCAACGCCGCGUGAGUGAUGAAGGUCUUCGGAUCGUAAAACUCUGUUAUUAGGGAAGAACAAAUGUGUAAGUAACUAUGCACGUCUUGACGGUACCUAAUCAGAAAGCCACGGCUAACUACGUGCCAGCAGCCGCGGUAAUACGUAGGUGGCAAGCGUUAUCCGGAAUUAUUGGGCGUAAAGCGCGCGUAGGCGGUUUUUUAAGUCUGAUGUGAAAGCCCACGGCUCAACCGUGGAGGGUCAUUGGAAACUGGAAAACUUGAGUGCAGAAGAGGAAAGUGGAAUUCCAUGUGUAGCGGUGAAAUGCGCAGAGAUAUGGAGGAACACCAGUGGCGAAGGCGACUUU
Molecule: ribosomal RNA, 685 nt
Filed under: uncultured Staphylococcus sp.
Lineage: Bacteria; Bacillati; Bacillota; Bacilli; Caryophanales; Staphylococcaceae
Description: bacterial SSU rRNA
Rfam family: Bacterial small subunit ribosomal RNA
Source: RNAcentral